RNAcentral lists this ribosomal RNA (377 nucleotides) under uncultured bacterium. RNAcentral's name for it is "bacterial SSU rRNA". It matches the Rfam family "Bacterial small subunit ribosomal RNA", at positions 521 to 896 of the family's 1533-position model. The record is from RNAcentral.
UAAGACGAACCACACGAACGUUAUUCGGAAUUACUGGGCUUAAAGGGUGCGUAGGCUGUGCGGAAAGUUGGGUGUGAAAUACCUUAGCUUAACUAAGGAACUGCGCUCAAAACUACCGUGCUCGAGGGAGACAGGGGUAAGCGGAACUUAGGGUGGAGCGGUGAAAUGCGUUGAUAUCCUAAGGAACACCGGUGGCGAAAGCGGCUUACUGGGUCUCUUCUGACGCUGAGGCACGAAAGCUAGGGUAGCGAACGGGAUUAGAUACCCCGGUAGUCCUAGCCGUAAACGAUGAGCACUUGGUUGGAGAACCCUCCAUAGUUUUCCAGCCGAAGCGAAAGUGUUAAGUGCUCCGCCUGGGGAGUAUGGUCGCAAGGCUG